UCGCGAUCUCGGGCGACCAUCAGAACGCA
This 29-nucleotide small RNA is filed under the name Bombyx mori (domestic silkworm). RNAcentral describes it as "ovarian small RNA-28774". Lineage: Eukaryota; Metazoa; Arthropoda; Insecta; Lepidoptera; Bombycidae. The record is from RNAcentral.